RNAcentral lists this ribosomal RNA (497 nucleotides) under uncultured bacterium. Its description in RNAcentral is "partial 16S ribosomal RNA". It matches the Rfam family "Bacterial small subunit ribosomal RNA", at positions 28 to 507 of the family's 1533-position model. The record is from RNAcentral.
GAUGAGCGCUGGCGGCGUGCCUAAUACAUGCAAGUCGAGCGAACGGACGAGAAGCUUGCUUCUCUGAUGUUAGCGGCGGACGGGUGAGUAACACGUGGAUAACCUACCUAUAAGACUGGGAUAACUUCGGGAAACCGUAGCUAAUACCGGAUAAUAUUUUGAACCGCAUGGUUCAAAAGUGAAAGACGGUCUUGCUGUCACUUAUAGAUGGAUCCGCGCUGCAUUAGCUAGUUGGUAAGGUAACGGCUUACCAAGGCAACGAUGCAUAGCCGACCUGAGAGGGUGAUCGGCCAAACUGGAACUGAGAAACGGUCCAGACUCCUACGGGAGGCAGCAGUAGGGAAUCUUCCGCAAUGGGCGAAAGCCUGACGGAGCAACGCCGCGUGAGUGAUGAAGGUCUUCGGAUCGUAAAACUCUGUUAUUAGGGAAGAACAUAUGUGUAAGUAACUGUGCACAUCUUGACGGUACCUAAUCAGAAAGCCACGGCUAACUACGUG